This 65-nucleotide ribosomal RNA is filed under the name Enterobacter hormaechei. RNAcentral also lists the same sequence under 5 other names. The record is from RNAcentral. Lineage: Bacteria; Pseudomonadati; Pseudomonadota; Gammaproteobacteria; Enterobacterales; Enterobacteriaceae.
CCUGGCGGCUUUAGCGCGGUGGUCCCACCUGACCCCAUGCCGAACUCAGAAGUGAAACGCCGUAG